Triticum aestivum (bread wheat) is the source of this 148-nucleotide non-coding RNA. Lineage: Eukaryota; Viridiplantae; Streptophyta; Magnoliopsida; Poales; Poaceae. The record is from Rfam.
UAUAUACUCCCUCCGUCCAGAAAUACUUGUCCUAAAAAUGGUUGUAUAUAGACUUAGUUUAUGGUUGUAUCUAGACUUAGUUUAGUUUUAGAUACAUCCAUUUUAUCCAUUUCGGAGGACAAGUAUUUUCGGACGACGGGAGUAUCAU